UAGAAAAAACCCAGCCCUUAUCU
This 23-nucleotide unclassified non-coding RNA is filed under the name Mus musculus (house mouse). RNAcentral's name for it is "oocyte_clustered_small_RNA4628". The record is from RNAcentral. Lineage: Eukaryota; Metazoa; Chordata; Mammalia; Rodentia; Muridae.